This 1301-nucleotide ribosomal RNA is filed under the name uncultured bacterium. RNAcentral's name for it is "bacterial SSU rRNA". It matches the Rfam family "Bacterial small subunit ribosomal RNA", at positions 94 to 1399 of the family's 1533-position model. The record is from RNAcentral.
AGUGGCGGACGGGUGAGUAAUGCUUGGGAACUUGCCUUUGCGAGGGGGAUAACAGUUGGAAACGACUGCUAAUACCGCAUAAUGUCUUCGGACCAAACGGGGCUUCGGCUCCGGCGCAAAGAGAGGCCCAAGUGAGAUUAGCUAGUUGGUAAGGUAAUGGCUUACCAAGGCGACGAUCUCUAGCUGUUCUGAGAGGAAGAUCAGCCACACUGGGACUGAGACACGGCCCAGAUUCCUACGGGAGGCAGCAGUGGGGAAUAUUGCACAAUGGGGGAAACCCUGAUGCAGCCAUGCCGCGUGUGUGAAGAAGGCCUUCGGGUUGUAAAGCACUUUCAGUUGUGAGGAAGAGUUAGUAGUUAAUACCUGCUAGCCGUGACGUUAACAACAGAAGAAGCACCGGCUAACUCCGUGCCAGCAGCCGCGGUAAUACGGAGGGUGCGAGCGUUAAUCGGAAUUACUGGGCGUAAAGCGCACGCAGGCGGUUUGUUAAGCUAGAUGUGAAAGCCCCGGGCUCAACCUGGGAUGGUCAUUUAGAACUGGCAGACUAGAGUCUUGGAGAGGGGAGUGGAAUUCCAGGUGUAGCGGUGAAAUGCGUAGAUAUCUGGAGGAACAUCAGUGGCGAAGGCGACUCCCUGGCCAAAGACUGACGCUCAUGUGCGAAAGUGUGGGUAGCGAACAGGAUUAGAUACCCUGGUAGUCCACACCGUAAACGCUGUCUACUAGCUGUGUGUGUCUUUAAGACGUGCGUAGCGAAGCUAACGCGCUAAGUAGACCGCCUGGGGAGUACGGCCGCAAGGUUAAAGCUCAAAUGAAUUGACGGGGGCCCGCACAAGCGGUGGAGCAUGUGGUUUAAUUCGAUGCAACGCGAAGAACCUUACCUACACUUGACAUGCUGAGAAGUUACUAGAGAUAGUUUCGUGCCUUCGGGAACUCAGACACAGGUGCUGCAUGGCUGUCGUCAGCUCGUGUCGUGAGAUGUUGGGUUAAGUCCCGCAACGAGCGCAACCCUUGUCCUUAGUUGCCAGCCUUAAGUUGGGCACUCUAAGGAGACUGCCGGUGACAAACCGGAGGAAGGUGGGGACGGCGUCAAGUCAUCAUGGCCCUUACGUGUAGGGCUACACACGUGCUACAAUGGCAUUUACAGAGGGAGGCGAGACAGUGAUGUGGAGCGGACCCCUUAAAGAAUGUCGUAGUCCGGAUUGGAGUCUGCAACUCGACUCCAUGAAGUCGGAAUCGCUAGUAAUCGCAGGUCAGAAUACUGCGGUGAAUACGUUCCCGGGCCUUGUACUCACCGCCCGUCA